RNAcentral lists this ribosomal RNA (483 nucleotides) under uncultured bacterium. Its description in RNAcentral is "partial 16S ribosomal RNA". It matches the Rfam family "Bacterial small subunit ribosomal RNA", at positions 30 to 506 of the family's 1533-position model. The record is from RNAcentral.
AUUGAACGCUGGCGGCAGGCCUAACACAUGCAAGUCGAGCGGAAGAAGGGAGCUUGCUCCUGGAUUCAGCGGCGGACGGGUGAGUAAUGCCUAGGAAUCUGCCUGGUAGUGGGGGAUAACGUCCGGAAACGGGCGCUAAUACCGCAUACGUCCUGAGGGAGAAAGUGGGGGAUCUUCGGACCUCACGCUAUCAGAUGAGCCUAGGUCGGAUUAGCUAGUUGGUGGGGUAAAGGCCUACCAAGGCGACGAUCCGUAACUGGUCUGAGAGGAUGAUCAGUCACACUGGAACUGAGACACGGUCCAGACUCCUACGGGAGGCAGCAGUGGGGAAUAUUGGACAAUGGGCGAAAGCCUGAUCCAGCCAUGCCGCGUGUGUGAAGAAGGUCUUCGGAUUGUAAAGCACUUUAAGUUGGGAGGAAGGGCAGUAAGUUAAUACCUUGCUGUUUUGACGUUACCAACAGAAUAAGCACCGGCUAACUUCGU